GACGUAGGGCGCGAGCGUUGUCCGGAUUUAUUGGGCGUAAAGGCGCUGCUGUGAGCGGCUUGUCGCGUCGUCUGUGAAAUCCCGCGGCUCAACCGCGGGUCUGCAGUCGAUACGGGCAGGCUAGAGUUCGGUAGGGGAGACUGGAAUUCCUGGUGUAGCGGUGAAAUGCGCAGAUAUCAGGAGGAACACCGGUGGCGAAGGCGGGUCUCUGGGCCGAUACUGACGCUGGGGGAGCGAAAGCGUGGGGAGCGAACAGG
Molecule: ribosomal RNA, 257 nt
Filed under: uncultured bacterium
Lineage: Bacteria
Description: partial 16S ribosomal RNA
Rfam family: Bacterial small subunit ribosomal RNA
Source: RNAcentral